RNAcentral lists this long non-coding RNA (1570 nucleotides) under Olea europaea subsp. europaea. The record is from RNAcentral. Lineage: Eukaryota; Viridiplantae; Streptophyta; Magnoliopsida; Lamiales; Oleaceae.
CCCCACUCCGUGCCCCACCCCGCAUUAGACGGGACGAGGAUGAGACAACUUUUUGCCCCAUUUAUUGUCUCGUUUAAUUUUAUUUAUUAUUAUUAUUUUUUUACAUUUUGAAAGUUUCGAAUUAUAUUAUUAUUAGAAAAUUAAAUACAAAUUCAAAAUGAAUUUUUAACGGGUAAAUUGUUUAGAAAUAAAAUUAUUUUUAAUUUUUUAAUUUUAUUUUUUUCUUCACGGGACGAGACAGACCACCUUGCCCCACCAACCCAUUCGAGACGAGGUAAAUUGUCAUCCCUAAUUUUAACACACAAGAUUAGGGCUCCAUUUGUUUAUCAUUUUUUGGCCACAAAAUGAAAAAUAUGGCUGUUAUCAAUAACAUCAAGCCAUCAUAUUUGACUUUCUUUCUUUUGUGUGAAUACCGUAACGACUAUAUUUUUCAUUCUCAUUCUUAUAAAUAUUGGAUUUAAAUGAGGCUAAAUCAUCCUUAAUUCUUAAUGUCAACAAGAAUGUACAUCUAGAUUUAUUCUUUUAAAAGGGGUUAAAUUUACAUUUUUUCUAAAUAUUAACAAUUAGAAUAAUUAAAUAAAAAAUAUGAAUAAAAAUAGAAUUGAAAAUCUUUCCCCCAAUCCAAAUCUUCAUCUUCUUCAAAACACCACACCCUACCCAUCCUUUAUCUUCUCCAAUACCCCCAAACCCCAAAUCAAAUCAAAAUUAGAAAAUCACUGAAUCAUAGCCAGCCCCUUCAAGUAGCAAAUCAGUCAAGCUGAGAGGGGAAACCAAAAAACCUACCGCUCGUUUCAGCAUUUAAAGCUUGGCUCCGCUCAUGCUCUCACUUACAUCAAGAACAGUAACCAAUCAAUAGGCAUAUGUCGCGUCAGGUACAGGACAUGGGUCAGUGGUGUAAAGGCAAUAUAGGAGCUUUAACCCUCAAAACGAUGGUGUACGUACCUCAACCAAUAAAGGCAUAUGUCGCUGAAAUAACAACAACCUCAACCAAUAAACUUACCUUCAUGUCAUCUUUGUGUUGUAGGUAAGAACCAUUGCUCGAAAUUGGAUGGGUAAUUUUUGCAUCUGCUAAAACGUAUGGCUCAUCAUCAAAUGCUCUUAUUUCUUGUUAGGUAAUUUUUGUAGAUUAUAACACUCUUAUCAUGUUUGGUUUCAUCAAUUUCUAUUUGUUCUUGAAGUUGCUAGUAAAGGGAUAUCUUUCCAUGUGAUCAACGGUUGUCGGAUGCGUUUUUGGUUUUGAUUUGGGUUGGGGAUUGGAUGUUUUGAAAAAGACGAAGAUUUGACGUAGAGUGGGGGUGGCGACAGAGGCCUGGAGCGGCCCUUUUACUUUUAAUUUAAUUGUUAAUAUUUGUGAAAAUGUAAAUUUAACAUUUUUACCCUUUUACAAUUUGUCAAAGGAUUAAACCAGAUGGUUCACAGCCCCCUCACAAUGAGGGGGCUCCACCUCGAUUUUUUUCCUUUUUAAUGAGUGCGGGCCCCCUCCGAUGUGAGGGGGCUGUCAACCGUGUUGUGUGUCGAGCUGUGCACAUAGCACGGUCCUUUGUCAAAAGAUGUCAUAUUUUUAUUUUUC